UAGAGUGCUCCAGGCAGGCCUAUGCUUGAAUACAUUAGCAAGCAAUAACGAAAUGGGACGUGGGGGUUUCUUUUGUUGGUUUCUAGGACCGCGGUAAUGAUUAAUAGGGACAGUAGGGGGCAUCAGCCUCAAUUGUCAGAGGUGAAAUUCUUGGAUUUAUUGAAGACUAACUAGUGCGAAAGCAUUUGCCAAGGAUGUUUUCAUUAAUCAGGAACGAAAGUUAGGGGAUCGAAGACGAUCAGAUACCGUCGUAGUCUUAACCAUAAACUAUGCCG
Molecule: ribosomal RNA, 275 nt
Filed under: fungal sp.
Lineage: Eukaryota; Fungi
Description: partial 18S ribosomal RNA
Rfam family: Eukaryotic small subunit ribosomal RNA
Source: RNAcentral